This 1366-nucleotide small RNA is filed under the name Pan troglodytes (chimpanzee). RNAcentral describes it as "retained intron". Lineage: Eukaryota; Metazoa; Chordata; Mammalia; Primates; Hominidae. The record is from RNAcentral.
UUGUACAAAGUCACCAAGCAAUAAAUGACAUAGUUAAGAUUUUAACACAUUUUGUUGACCCCAGGUCUUCUGACUGCCUGUUUACCAUGCUAGUGUGCCUGGCCUAUUUUAGUUUUCUAAAUAUUAAGAGCCCACAAAUUCUUUAAUUAAAUUGGAGGGAUAUUUAGGAUAGGAUACUUAAUAUUUUUUUUUUUGACAUUUUUGUUGCAGUAUCAUCCAAAAGGUGCUAGGAUAGAUGUUUCUAUCAAUGAGUGUUAUGAUGGCUCCUAUGCAGGAAAUCCUCAGGAUAUUCAUCGCCAACCUGGAUUUGCUUUUAGUCGCAACGGACCAGUUAAGAGAACACCUAUCACACAUAUUCUUGUGUGCAGGCCAAAACGAACAAAAGCAAGCAUGUCUGAAUUUCUUGAAUCUGAAGAUGGGGAAGUAGAACAGCAAAGAACAUAUAGUAGUGGCCACAAUCGUCUGUAUUUCCAUAGUGAUACCUGCUUACCUCUCCGUCCACAAGAAAUGGAAGUAGAUAGUGAAGAUGAAAAGGAUCCUGAAUGGCUAAGAGAAAAAACCAUUACACAAAUUGAAGAGUUUUCUGAUGUUAAUGAAGGAGAGAAAGAAGUGAUGAAACUCUGGAAUCUCCAUGUCAUGAAGCAUGGGUUUAUUGCUGACAAUCAAAUGAAUCAUGCCUGUAUGCUGUUUGUAGAAAAUUAUGGACAGAAAAUAAUUAAGAAGAAUUUAUGUCGAAACUUCAUGCUUCAUCUAGUCAGCAUGCAUGACUUUAAUCUUAUUAGCAUAAUGUCAAUAGAUAAAGCUGUUACCAAGCUCCGUGAAAUGCAGCAAAAAUUAGAAAAGGGGGAAUCUGCUUCCCCUGCAAACGAAGAAAUAACUGAAGAACAAAAUGGGACAGCAAAUGGAUUUAGUGAAAUUAACUCAAAAGAGAAAGCUUUGGAAACAGAUAGUGUCUCAGGGGUUUCAAAACAGAGCAAAAAACAAAAACUCUGAAAAGCUCUAACCCCAUGUUAUGGACAAACACUGAAAUUACAUUUUAGGGAAUUCAUCCUCUAAGAAUUAUGUUUUUGUUUUUAAUCAUAUGUUCCAAACAGGCACUGUUAGAUGAAGUAAAUGAUUUCAACAAGGAUAUUUGUAUCAGGGUUCUACUUCACUUCAUUAUGCAGCAUUACAUGUAUAUCACUUUUAUUGAUGUCAUUAAAACAUUCUGUACUUUAAGCAUGAAAAGCAAUAUUUCAAAGUAUUUUUAAACUCAACAAAUGUCAUCAAAUAUGUUGAAUUGAUCUAGAAAUUAUUUCAUAUAUAAAUUAGAAUUUUUUUGCAUUUAUGACCUGCUGUUUUUCUACUUUGUAAUUGUGAGACAUUU